Long non-coding RNA from Gavialis gangeticus (Gharial), 1706 nucleotides. RefSeq lists it as uncharacterized. The record is from RefSeq and is a predicted model, not a curated record. NCBI's taxonomy places the organism in Eukaryota, Metazoa, Chordata, Crocodylia, Gavialidae. The transcript is spliced from 4 exons.
UAAACAAACUUUAUUAUACAACCAGCUUGUAAAAUAUUGAAUGACACUGAAGGAUGGUGCCAACUGGCUGGUAGGUGUUAUAAAGAAUAUAAAACACACAACAGAAAUGGUCUUACUUAUAUUAGCAUAUUUAGAUAUGCCAAACAUAAAAUGAUGUUAAGUGAAUGUUAAUAUUGCAAAGGUUGCAAAAUUUUGAAGUUGCACGUGCAUCUUAACUCUGUUCCUUUUAGUGUAUCCUUUAUGAUGCAUUCUGUAACUAAAUGGUCACAUACUAUUUCUCAAAUAAUACAGUAACAAUAACAUACUUUUCUCUUAUGCAUCUAGCAUCCCAUAGUGCUUUGGCCUAGAACAGACAUUCAUUUCUAAUGGUCAAAGUUUCUGAGAAAUUUCCACUGCUAGAAAUCAUUCUGGGAGAGGGAGCAGUACAGCCCUUUAAUCUGAAGUUGCUCCUUCUCCAUCCUUUUCACGCCUUCCCUACACCGGGAUGAUCCUGGUCUUUGGAAGCCAUAGGAAAAAAAGGCUGCCCCACUUCCUCCAGACAGUUGACACCUGAAAGAUCUUUUUCCUGGAGGGGACAUGUUUCCCUUGGGAGAAAUUGAAUGAAUGCUUGUAUGUUUGUUGCUUCAAUCAGCACAGUGGUGAUUUUCCUGGUAAUGUAAUGCCUGUAUGGGGCCUUUGUGUUUGUCAGACAGAGGAUCUAAAAAUCAUCUGUACAAAAAGUAAGUUUGCAUAAUACAUUAUUGAUCAAAUAUUACAACAAAGUAAUAGUGAACUUUUAUUGGUAUGUAUAAAUCCACAAAGUCUGCAGAUAAAUCACUUCAGUAGUUAAGUGUCUCAUCCCCCAAUAUGCAUCUAAAGUACUAUAAUCUAUUUCCUACUGGCUGAAAAAAGAACGAAGACAUUUUUCAAUACAUGGCCAAAUACUGCUCUUUUCUGAGUAACUUUAGGGGGAAGGAGUUGCUCAAUUCUGACAAAUCCUGGCAUUUGUUAUUUCUCUUUAAUGCGUAACAUAAAAGUCUUAUUAAAUAAUAUCGUAAUUAAUACCUACCAAAAUGCAUAGAGGUGAGGAAAGGAGUUAAAAUAGUAUGUGCAACUUUAACUUUGCAAUUCUUGACUUUUGAACAUGUAACUGCUUAAACUUAAUAUUCUGUUAAUAUGGUCUCUUAGGUGGGGUUUUUAUUAAGAGAAAAAAAGUCACAGAAAAAAGAAUCUGAAUCUUCCCUUCUCCUGACUUAUGCUGUGAGCAUCUUUAUCCAGACACAGGGUCCACUCAAUUCUACUGACUGGUAUUGAUAUUGGUAUUUAUUCCCCUGCUUUUUCAAGGCCUGCAGUUGUUUUGGGCCUCUCUCUAGGAAAUGAUGGUUAUGUUAGCAUGAGAGCUGUCCUGUCAAGGCUUGGCAAACAGAAGACAAAAAAGGAAGAACACCACAAAGCAAAGACCUAGACCUCAGCACCCUUGAAAAGAUCUGAAAGCACUCCAGUGUGUUGCAGCACCAUUACUGAGCAUCACUGGCUUAAACACUGAACUUUAGAAUUCACAGGAGUAAUAUUAACUGCAGCAAAUGGAAGUAAAUCCAAGGCAUGAUGAGGUUCGUAAUAUGGUUAGACACAAACCCGUGCCAGGAACUUAGUGACUUUUCUGAAUAUCUAAGAAACGUCAUUGCUAAAUAAUAGAAGCCAGAGAAUCUAGGAGACAUUUUAAAAUA